Molecule: non-coding RNA, 2699 nt
Organism: Salmo salar (Atlantic salmon)
Lineage: Eukaryota; Metazoa; Chordata; Actinopteri; Salmoniformes; Salmonidae
Source: RefSeq, a predicted model, not a curated record
UUUCGCCUGCCAUAUCAGUUCUGUUAUACUCACAGACAUAAUUUUAACAGUUUUAGAAACGUUAGAGUGUUUUCUAUCCAAAUCUACCAAUUAUAUGCAUACCCUAGCUUCUGGGCCUGAGUAACAGGCAGUUUACUUUGGGCACGCUUUUCAUCCGGAUGUGAAAAUACUGCCCCCUACCCAAGAGAGGUUAAUAAUGGCAGAGAUGAAAGGAAUUCAAAUGGAUUGUUCACAUUAAAUCAUUAUAUUAUGCUCAAUGGUAAUUAGUGAGUGAAUGUGAGUAUACUCUAUAUCCUUAGAGCAGUAGGUGGGCAUAUGCAUGGCCACCACUACACCUGCACCACUGGGUGCGAUUGAAGCUGGCGGUGUUGACAGUGACACUACACAUAUAGGCAGGCACAACACUGCUGCCCUUCCCUGCCUUGCAUGGUAUUGCUCUGUAUAUACUAGAGUAUAAUGAGAUAUUUCCCUAUGUUUUUCUAGAGAGGGACAGUGUGUGAUUAACUAAACUGAAUUUACCUUUGACUCUCUGUGUGUAGAAUCUUCAUUCUCCAUAGAGACGUUGGAUAUAGUCCCUCACAUCCAACACAUGUUCAGUAUAGAGGAAGAAUAUUCAUAGACAUGGAACUGUGAGGUAAGGAGGUGUGUGUCUUUGCGUGAGGUAAAGGGGGCAGAGUGUGUGUUUCCCGAUGUGCUCUGUUAGAGGGUAUGUAUCUGAAAGCACUAACCUGUGUGUGUGUGUGUGUGUGUGUGUGUGGACGUGUUUAACUAUACUAUAAUAUACUAUAAUAGUAAAUGAACAACUGGGGACUGGGGACUUUUUGUUAGUCCCCACAAGGUCGAAUGCUAUUUCUACAGGGUUUAGGGUUAAGGUUAGAAUGAAUGUUACGGUUAGGGUUAGGGUUAGGGUUAAGGUAACGGUAAGGGUUAGAGUUAGGGAAAAUAGGAUUUUGAAUGGGACUGAAUUAUGUGUCACCACAAGGUUAGUCGUACAAGACUUGGUUUCUACAUGAUUCCAUAUGUUAUUUCAUAGUUUUGAUGGAGGCAGACUGUGUUGUCUCUGUAGCUUCCUCUGAGGAAGAAUGUCCCGGAAAACAUGUCCCUUCAUCUACAUGAGAGAAUGCCGAGAGAAUGCCAAGAGUGUGCAAAGCUAUCAUCAACGAGGCAAAGUGGCUACUUUGAAGAAUCUCAUUUUUAGUUUUGUUUAACACUUUUUUUGGUUUCUACAUGAUUCCAUAUGUUAUUUCAUAGUUUUGAUGUCUUCACUAUUAUUCUACAAUGAAGAAAAUAGUAAAAAUAAAAACCCUAGAAUGAGUAGGUGUGUCAACUUUUGACUGGUGCUGUAUGUGAAUGUGUAAGUCAGGGUUGGGGUCAAUUCCAUUUAAAUUCGUGGUGGACAACAGGUUUACUGUUGCCUCGUUUAAUCUCGUUCCCAGACACUACCGCCCAAAUGCACGACGAGUCUGGUGGGCCAACACAUCAAACUUGGCCUUCGUUAGCCAAUAUAUUCUCCCACCGCGUAUUCAUCGGGUUAAUCGCCUUUAUCUACAAAGUACUCAUCUCCCACAACACCUUCCCCGUACACUAGCACACCACAAGCACAGAGCCACACCUAGCAGUUGUAGGAUUCGCUAAAGUGGUGAUGACAAAUACUUUACUCAGUAGGUCACAUGGAAUUCUAUGGUCACUCCAUGUAAGGUCACCUUAGAAUGGUUAGUAUCCCAGGUUUAUAUGCGCAGUGCGCAACUGCCUGGGUAUGAGGUUAUGUCUGAUUUGACCGUGUAUUAACCAUGUUGCGUGGUUAAUGUGUGGCCAGAGGGAGCUGGAGUGCAGACAGCAGACAGAAGACGGUGGAUGUGUUUGGGGUGGAGAAGACUGUGGACUCAGUGGAGGACAUCCCAGCCACUUUACAGUAUUGGCACUGCUACUGGUCUUUUUUUCUUUCUUUUUUUACAUCAGCAGUUGGCACGAAGUCCUACACCAGAGAAACCCAGGACAUACAGGACACUGCUCCUGUCAUCUUUCUCCCUGUGUGAUGUCAUAUCCUGUUCAUGUUUAGGCACCUGGCCAGCCUAGUGCAGGUGGGCUCUCCCAUCAACAUGAGGCGCCUGCUGCUCGCGCCCCAAAUGUACACAGGAGGAGUUGAAGGCGGAGAAUUCCUCGUACCUGUGGCAGCACCCGGUGCUUCGCGCCACGAUGGCCGACUUCUUGCCGUUCCUUUUACUACGAAAACCAAGCAACGUCUUCAUGUUUGCCCGCGAGUACUUCUCCCCCUUCGUUUCCCACCGACCCCCGGGGGGCACCUUCAACACCUCACCUUGAGGACACACACUGUGGCUGCGUCUUAAUAGGCUAGUAGCUUCCUUUCACAGGCACUUUAGUGAGGACAAUACUCUUCAGGUUAGCACUAGUAUGUACAGAGGCCUUCCACAUCAUCAAAUAUGAAUCCUUUUAUGGAUGUUUUGUAUUUUAUAAUACUGUUUUUGUUUGUAUGAGCUGCACUGAAACAAAUUCCAAUCAACUCUAUGGCAAUCACGAGUUACAACUGUCAGUUGGUGUGAAUAAAAUAAAAUGUAUUAUUUCAUGUGUUGUAUAUUUCCCAGGCUUUAUUUCUGUUAUGAACUUCAGUAACUGCUACUUUGCUUUGACUCUGUGAUCACACCAUACAUUUUUAAGAAUAAAGUUAUAAAUGAAAGUAA